This 396-nucleotide ribosomal RNA is filed under the name Scinax fuscovarius (snouted treefrog). Its description in RNAcentral is "partial 16S ribosomal RNA". It matches the Rfam family "Bacterial large subunit ribosomal RNA", at positions 1967 to 2515 of the family's 2925-position model. The record is from RNAcentral. Lineage: Eukaryota; Metazoa; Chordata; Amphibia; Anura; Hylidae.
ACUUGUUCUUUAAAUGAGGACUAGUAUGAAUGGCACCACGAGGGUUGCACUGUCUCCUUUUCCUAAUCAAUGAAACUAAUCUCCCCGUGAAGAAGCGGGGAUACUACUAUAAGACGAGAAGACCCUAUGGAGCUUUAAAUUUCUCUUCAAACGCCAGACACAUAAACAUCUGACACUUUACAUCAACCCGACGCCUUGAAGAUGAAUUUUAGGUUGGGGUGACCAUGGAGAACAAAAUAACCUCCACGCUGAAAAGGCCUCUAAGCUUUGAGCCGAGGGCUACAACCCAACGCACUAAAAAAUUAACACCCAUUGACCCAAUAUUUUUGAUCAACGAACCAAGUUACCCUAGGGAUAACAGCGCAAUCUACUUCAAGAGUCCCUAUCGACAAGUGG